This 253-nucleotide ribosomal RNA is filed under the name uncultured bacterium. RNAcentral describes it as "partial 16S ribosomal RNA". It matches the Rfam family "Bacterial small subunit ribosomal RNA", at positions 524 to 776 of the family's 1533-position model. The record is from RNAcentral.
GACGUAGGGCGCGAGCGUUGUCCGGAUUUAUUGGGCGUAAAGAGCUCGUAGGCGGCUUGUCGCGUCGUUCGUGAAAACCUGCAGCUCAACUGCAGGCUUGCGGUCGAUACGGGCAGGCUAGAGUUCGGUAGGGGAGACUGGAAUUCCUGGUGUAGCGGUGAAAUGCGCAGAUAUCAGGAGGAACACCUGCGGUGUAGACGGCUUACUGGACCGUGACUGACGCUGAGGCACGAAAGCGUGGGUAGCAAACAGG